Molecule: RNA transcript, 463 nt
Organism: Mandrillus leucophaeus (drill)
Lineage: Eukaryota; Metazoa; Chordata; Mammalia; Primates; Cercopithecidae
Gene name: tumor protein 63 pseudogene
Exons: 1
Source: RefSeq, a predicted model, not a curated record
AGUACACGAACCUGGGGCUCUUGAACAGCAUGGACCAGCAGAUUCAGAACGGCUCCUCGUCCACCAGUCCCUAUAACACAGACCACGCGCAGAACAGCGUCACGGCGCCCUCGCCCUACGCGCAGCCCAGCUCCACCUUCGAUGCCCUCUCGCCAUCACCCGCCAUCCCCUCCAACACCGACUACCCAGGCCCGCACAGUUUCGACGUGUCCUUCCAGCAGUCAAGCACCGCCAAGUCGGCCACCUGGACGGUAAGAGCAGCGGGCACGCACAUGCCUGACCCCAGUCCAAGGCCGGGCUUCACCACAUCCCAGGGAUUUCUCUCCCUUCCCAGUUUAGCGAUUCCACGUUCAAUGGUGGAAAAGUUGUCUUUGAAUAUUUAAUACUGAACCAGAGAGAGAGAAGGUGCCAGUUAGUGGGAAAAGUCCCAAUUUAGGAACCAAACGUCUGCAUUCUAGCCAGC